ACGUAGGGGGCAAGCGUUAUCCGGAAUUAUUGGGCGUAAAGAGUGCGUAGGUGGUUUUUUAAGCUUGAGGUGAAAGGCAAUAGCUUAACUAUUGUAAGCCUUGCGAACUGGAAGACUUGAGUGCAGGGAAGGAAAGGGGAAUUCCUAGUGUGGGGGUAAAAGGCGUGGAAAUUAGAGGGAACACCGGUGCCGAGGGGGCCUUUCUGGACGGUACCGGCCACUGAGGGACGAAGGCAGGGGGACAAACAG
RNAcentral lists this ribosomal RNA (249 nucleotides) under uncultured prokaryote. RNAcentral's name for it is "partial 16S rRNA". It matches the Rfam family "Bacterial small subunit ribosomal RNA", at positions 525 to 775 of the family's 1533-position model. The record is from RNAcentral.